This is a long non-coding RNA of Sphaerodactylus townsendi, 658 nucleotides long. RefSeq lists it as uncharacterized. NCBI's taxonomy places the organism in Eukaryota, Metazoa, Chordata, Lepidosauria, Squamata, Sphaerodactylidae. The transcript has 3 exons. The record is from RefSeq and is a predicted model, not a curated record.
AGUGGUAAAACAGUUUUAAAAAUCAAUUGGAGGGGGAAGGGAUAAAUUCCAAAUCGAAAGAGAGAGAGAGAGAGAUCGGCACAUGUGCAGCAUGGGUUCCCCUUGCGGUGUUACACGUGCCUGUUCCCUACCAUUUCUCCAAUGGACUGCUUGAAGUUUUCCACACCGUGUGGCCCAUCCCAGAAAUGCCUCACAUCGGUGGCAAGAGGGCACAGAGGUGCCCUUGAGCUGGUGAUCCAGGAGAAGAGCUGUGGAGAUCCUUCGAUGUGUUGGGCCCGCGGCACCCGCUCCAUGCUAGGAACCAAUUUCACCUACUCCACUUCUUGCUGUUCUACCGACUUCUGCAACAGAGGCGCCAUGGGGCUAGGCACUUCCUGGAAGCUGUUGACAAUCCCCCUUCUGUCAGUUGUUAUGGUUUACCUCCACUGAGGCAGCUGCCUUAUCUGAGAACAUGGGUGGCUUCAGACCACUCUCUCCCAACAUCACUGCUCACUCCCAGCUCCCCACCAGACCCCUAAACAGCUCAUUUUGGGAUGACUCGUUUACGAUUAUGUCGCCAUUUCCCACGCCUUCUUUCUCUCUCUUCCCAACCAGAAAUGCCGAUGGAAAGUAAAUAAGUUGCAAUAAACCUGCUUGAUUCAACAACUGGAUACUUGAA